Molecule: ribosomal RNA, 788 nt
Filed under: uncultured Verrucomicrobiota bacterium
Lineage: Bacteria; Pseudomonadati; Verrucomicrobiota
Description: bacterial SSU rRNA
Rfam family: Bacterial small subunit ribosomal RNA
Source: RNAcentral
CGGGAUUUUAUUUGUAGCAAUACCGAUAAAAUCUAGUGGCGGACGGGUGCGUAACACGUGAGCAAUCUGCCGGGAAGUGGGGGAUAACUCGCCGAAAGGCGAAUUAAUACCGCAUGUGGCCAAGGAAGACAUCUUCCCAAAGCCAAAGUCGCAAGACGCUUCCUGAUGAGCUCGCGGCCUAUCAGCUAGUUGGUGAGGUAACGGCUCACCAAGGCUAUGACGGGUAGCUGGUCUGAGAGGACGACCAGCCACACUGGAACUGAGACACGGUCCAGACACCUACGGGUGGCAGCAGUCGAGAAUUUUUCACAAUGGGGGAAACCCUGAUGGAGCGACGCCGCGUGGAGGAUGAAGGUCUUCGGAUUGUAAACUCCUGUCAAAUGGGAACAAGAAAGUGAUAGUACCAUUAGAGGAAGAGACGGCUAACUCUGUGCCAGCAGCCGCGGUAAUACAGAGGUCUCAAGCGUUGUUCGGAUUCAUUGGGCGUAAAGGGUGCGCAGGCUGCGGGGUAAGUCGGAUGCGAAAUUUAGGGGCUCAACCUCUAAACUGCAUUCGAUACUGCUCUGCUAGAGGACUGUAGAGGAGAUUGGAAUUCACGGUGUAGCAGUGAAAUGCGUAGAUAUCGUGAGGAAGACCAGUGGCGAAGGCGAAUCUCUGGGCAGUUCCUGACGCUCAUGCACGAAGGCCAGGGGAGCAAACGGGAUUAGAUACCCCGGUAGUCCUGGCAGUAAACGGUGCACGUUUGGUGUGGGAGGAUUCGACCCCUUCCGUGCCGGAGCUAACGCGUU